CCUACGGGUGGCAGCAGUGGGGAAUAUUGCACAAUGGGGGAAACCCUGAUGCAGCGACGCCGCGUGAGUGAAGAAGUACUUCGUUACGUAAAGCUCUAUCAGCAGGGAAGAAAAUGACCGUACCUGAGUAAGUAGUCCCGGCUAACUACGUGCCAGCAGCUGCGGGAAUACGUAGGGGGCAAGCGUUAUCCGGAUUUACUGGGUGGAAAGGGAGCGUAGACGGUGCGCCAAGUCUGGAGUGAAAUGCCGCAGCUUAACUGCGGAACUGCUUUGGAAACUGGCGAACUAGAGUGCGGGAGGGGUAAGCGGAAUUCCAAGUGUAGCGGUAAAAUGCGUAGAUAUAAGGAGGAACACCAGUGGCGAAGGCGGCUUACUGGACCGUAACUGACGUUGAGGCUCGAAAGCGUGGGGAGCAAACAGGAUUAGAUACCCCUGUAGUC
Molecule: ribosomal RNA, 440 nt
Filed under: uncultured bacterium
Lineage: Bacteria
Description: partial 16S ribosomal RNA
Rfam family: Bacterial small subunit ribosomal RNA
Source: RNAcentral